Molecule: ribosomal RNA, 305 nt
Filed under: uncultured bacterium
Lineage: Bacteria
Description: bacterial SSU rRNA
Rfam family: Bacterial small subunit ribosomal RNA
Source: RNAcentral
UGCCUACGGGGCGCAGCAGUGGGGAAUAUUGGGCAAUGGGCGCAAGCCUGACCCAGCAACGCCGCGUGAAGGAAGAAGGCUUUCGGGUUGUAAACUUCUUUUAAGAGGGAAGAGUAGAAGACGGUACCUCUUGAAUAAGCCACGGCUAACUACGUGCCAGCAGCCGCGGUAAUACGUAGGUGGCAAGCGUUAUCCGGAAUUACUGGGUGUAAAGGGUGUGUAGGCGGGGCUGCAAGUCAGAUGUGAAAAUUAUGGGCUCAACCCAUAACCUGCGUCUGAAACUGUAGCUCUUGAGAGUGGGAGAG